Molecule: ribosomal RNA, 476 nt
Filed under: uncultured anaerobic ammonium-oxidizing bacterium
Lineage: Bacteria
Description: bacterial SSU rRNA
Rfam family: Bacterial small subunit ribosomal RNA
Source: RNAcentral
UUCGCAAUGCCCGAAAGGGUGACGAUGCGACGCCGCGUGAGCGAAGAAGGCCCUAGGGUUGUAAAGCUCUGUCGAGGGUUAUGAAAUAUAGAUGGGUUAAUACCCCAUUUAUUUGACAAAAGCCCAAAAGGAAGCCACGGCUAACUCUGUGCCAGCAGCCGCGGUAAUACAGAGGUGGCGAGCGUUGUUCGGUAUUAUUGGGCGUAAAGAGCACGUAGGUGGUUUUGUAAGUCAGGUGUGAAAGCCUUCUGUUCAAAGGAAGAACGGCAUCUGAAACUGCAGAUCUUGAGUGUAGGAGGGGAGAGUGGAACUUCUGGUGGAGCGGUGAAAUGCGUAGAUAUCAGAAGGAACGUCGGCGGCGAAAGCGACUCUCUGGCCUAUUACUGGCACUGAGGUGCGAAAGUUAGGGGAGCAAACGGGAUUAGAUACCCCGGUAGUCCUAACCGUAAACGAUGGGCACUAAGUAGAGGGGUUUU